This 88-nucleotide ribosomal RNA is filed under the name Micrococcus terreus. RNAcentral's name for it is "23S rRNA. Bacterial LSU". The record is from RNAcentral. Lineage: Bacteria; Bacillati; Actinomycetota; Actinomycetes; Micrococcales; Micrococcaceae.
CAGAACACUGGGUUGAUAGGCCGGACGUGGAAGCAAGGACUAAAGACUUGUGAAGCCGACCGGUACUAAUAGGCCGAUAACUUACACA